UAUAGUACUGUGAAGGAAAGGUGAAAAGCACCCCGGGAGGGGAGUGAAAAAGAACCUGAAACCCUGUGCCUACAAGCACCUAGAGCGCGUCAAUGCGUGAUAGGGUACUUUUUGUAGAACGGUCCGGCGAGCGAUUGUAUGCAGCAAGGUUAAGGACUUAAGGUCUGGAGCCGAAGCGAAAGCGAGUUUGAAAAGGGCGUUAAGUUGCAUAUAAUGGGCCCGAAACCGGGUGACCUACCCAUGGUCAGGUUGAAGUGGAAGUAAAAUUCCAUGGAGGACCGAACCGACCUCCGUUGAAAAGGCGGCGGAUGAACUGUGGGUAGCGGAGAAAUUCCAAUCGAACCCGGAGAUAGCUGGUUCUCCCCGAAAUAGUUUUAGGACUAGCCUCAAGUUAGAUACCUGGAGGUAAAGCACUGAAUAGCCUAGCGGCCGAGAGGUUAGCGAAGCUUAUCAAACUCAGAAUGCCAGAGUAUUGAUGCUUGGGAGUCAGACAGUGUCAGAUAAAUGUCAUUGUCAAAAGGGAAACAGCCCAGAUCUACAGCUAAGGUCCCAAAGUCAGGUUAAGUGGAAAACGAUGUGAAGAUACGCAGACAACCAGGAUGUUGGCUCAGAAGCAGCCACUCAUUCAAAGAGUGCGUAAUAGCUCACUGGUCGAGCGUCUUUGCGCGGAGAAUUUAACGGGGCUAAACCUGACACCGAAGCUUAGGCAAUCCAGCAAUGGAUUGGGUAGGGGAGCGUUGUAUACGCGGAGAAACAGUAGCGUAAGCGGCUGUGGAGUGUAUAGAAGUGAGAAUGCCGGAAUGAGUAGCGCGAAUGCAGUGAGAAUCUGCAUGGCCGAAAGCCUCAGGUUUUUGGAGGAAGGUUCGUCCGCUCCAAGUUAGUCGGGAGCUAAGGUGAGGCCGGAAGGCGUAGCCGAUGCACAGACGGUAGAGAUUCCGUCACCACCAAAAGAGUUAAGCACAGGGACACAUUUGAAGUCUCAGAGCCGGGUGUUGGUUCCGGUAGAGAUCGAGGGAAGUUAGUACCGAAGUCUGAGAUGGAAGAUGGCGAGAAAAGCUGUGUGUAUUUCUGAGGUGCCCGUACCGCAAACCGACACAGGUAGGUAGGAAGAAGAUUCUAAGGCCAACGGGAGAAGGGUUGUUAAGGAACUCGGCAAAUUGACCCCGUAACUUCGGGAGAAGGGGUGCUCCAGAGAUGGAGCCGCAGAGAAUCGGCCCAAGCAACUGUUUACCAAAAACACAGGUUUGUGCUAAAUCGAAAGAUGACGUAUACGAGCUGACGCCUGCCCGGUGCUGGAAGGUUAAGAGGAGAUGUGCAAGCAUUGAAUCGAAGCCCCAGUGAACGGCGGCCGUAACUAUAACGGUCCUAAGGUAGCGAAAUUCCUUGUCAGGUAAG
This 1395-nucleotide ribosomal RNA is filed under the name human gut metagenome. Its description in RNAcentral is "bacterial LSU rRNA". It matches the Rfam family "Bacterial large subunit ribosomal RNA", at positions 493 to 1980 of the family's 2925-position model. The record is from RNAcentral.